UCUGUUCGUCCUGAAUUUUGU
This 21-nucleotide non-coding RNA is filed under the name Caenorhabditis elegans. The record is from RNAcentral. Lineage: Eukaryota; Metazoa; Nematoda; Chromadorea; Rhabditida; Rhabditidae.